RNAcentral lists this ribosomal RNA (550 nucleotides) under uncultured bacterium. Its description in RNAcentral is "bacterial SSU rRNA". It matches the Rfam family "Bacterial small subunit ribosomal RNA", at positions 355 to 896 of the family's 1533-position model. The record is from RNAcentral.
UAGGGAAUCUUCCGCAAUGGGCGAAAGCCUGACGGAGCAACGCCGCGUGAGUGAUGAAGGUCUUCGGAUCGUAAAACUCUGUUAUUAGGGAAGAACAUACGUGUAAGUAACUGUGCACGUCUUGACGGUACCUAAUCAGAAAGCCACGGCUAACUACGUGCCAGCAGCCGCGGUAAUACGUAGGUGGCAAGCGUUAUCCGGAAUUAUUGGGCGUAAAGCGCGCGUAGGCGGUUUUUUAAGUCUGAUGUGAAAGCCCACGGCUCAACCGUGGAGGGUCAUUGGAAACUGGAAAACUUGAGUGCAGAAGAGGAAAGUGGAAUUCCAUGUGUAGCGGUGAAAUGCGCAGAGAUAUGGAGGAACACCAGUGGCGAAGGCGACUUUCUGGUCUGUAACUGACGCUGAUGUGCGAAAGCGUGGGGAUCAAACAGGAUUAGAUACCCUGGUAGUCCACGCCGUAAACGAUGAGUGCUAAGUGUUAGGGGGUUUCCGCCCCUUAGUGCUGCAGCUAACGCAUUAAGCACUCCGCCUGGGGAGUACGACCGCAAGGUUG